GACGAACGCUGGCGGCGUGCUUAACACAUGCAAGUCGAACGGAAAGGCCCUGCUUUUGUGGGGUGCUCGAGUGGCGAACGGGUGAGUAACACGUGAGUAACCUGCCCUUGACUUUGGGAUAACUUCAGGAAACUGGGGCUCAUACCGGAUAGGAGCUCCUGCUGCAUGGUGGGGGUUGGAAAGUUUCGGCGGUUGGGGAUGGACUCGCGGCUUAUCAGCUUGUUGGUGGGGUAGUGGCUUACCAAGGCUUUGACGGGUAGCCGGCCUGCGAGGGUGACCGGCCACAUUGGGACGGAGAUACGGCCCAGACUCCUACGGGAGGCAGGAGUGGGGAAUAGUGCACAAUGGGCGGAAGCCUGAUGCAGCAACGCCGCGUGCGGGAUGACGGCCUUCGGGUUGUAAACCGCUUUCGCCUGUGACGAAGCGUGAGUGACGGUAAUGGGUAAAGAAGCACCGGCUAACUACGUG
Molecule: ribosomal RNA, 468 nt
Filed under: uncultured bacterium
Lineage: Bacteria
Description: partial 16S ribosomal RNA
Rfam family: Bacterial small subunit ribosomal RNA
Source: RNAcentral